UGCUACUUUGCUGACGAGCGGCGGACGGGUGAGUAAUGCUUGGGAACAUGCCUUGAGGUGGGGGACAACAGUUGGAAACGACUGCUAAUACCGCAUAAUGUCUACGGACCAAAGGGGGCUUCGGCUCUCGCCUUUAGAUUGGCCCAAGUGGGAUUAGCUAGUUGGUGAGGUAAUGGCUCACCAAGGCGACGAUCCCUAGCUGGUUUGAGAGGAUGAUCAGCCACACUGGGACUGAGACACGGCCCAGACUCCUACGGGAGGCAGCAGUGGGGAAUAUUGCACAAUGGGCGCAAGCCUGAUGCAGCCAUGCCGCGUGUGUGAAGAAGGCCUUCGGGUUGUAAAGCACUUUCAGUCAGGAGGAAAGGUUAACGGUUAAUACCCGUUAGCUGUGACGUUACUGACAGAAGAAGCACCGGCUAACUCCGUGCCAGCAGCCGCGGUAAUACGGAGGGUGCGAGCGUUAAUCGGAAUUACUGGGCGUAAAGCGUACGCAGGCGGUUUGUUAAGCGAGAUGUGAAAGCCCCGGGCU
RNAcentral lists this ribosomal RNA (529 nucleotides) under Pseudoalteromonas sp. 1819. Its description in RNAcentral is "bacterial SSU rRNA". It matches the Rfam family "Bacterial small subunit ribosomal RNA", at positions 78 to 609 of the family's 1533-position model. Lineage: Bacteria; Pseudomonadati; Pseudomonadota; Gammaproteobacteria; Alteromonadales; Pseudoalteromonadaceae. The record is from RNAcentral.